UGUAUCGUGUUGAUUGCUUUCAUAUUAAUCGUGAUAAAUUUAAUAUAACAUAUAGAAAAGUGAUCCUUUUGUACAGGUCAAUCUUUGGGUUUUGGAUUGGGCAUACGAGGAGGAGGCUCACCUGUUAAGUCACACCGACACCCUUGGCUCUCUCAAUGCCAGAGGCCUUACAAGUGCGUUGCCAGCCCUUUAAGAAUUGUUACGCUCUUUUUUGAAGGACCCUAAAUCGAAAUGGUUCGGAAAUACUUAGUAAAAAACGCUCCGUUUCGAACGAUGGACGUCGUGAUACAGGUGGACUGGAUUUUUUGUUGUAUCAUGAUCAGCGCACGCGAUUACAGAUUUUUGAUGGAUAAUUUUUUCACACCUUGGUUUAAAAUCAAGGUUAUUGCCUUUAUUAAGGAAGGAAAGGAAAUUUUGGAAGGUAUAUAUUGCGUAUGUCAGUCAGUGAAGAUGCAGCUUUCUAAUGAAAUUAUUUAAACAACUGUUAAAAAACUGUCUAAUAAAUCGUUUGCUUUGCAAUGA
Molecule: long non-coding RNA, 522 nt
Organism: Pieris brassicae (large cabbage white)
Lineage: Eukaryota; Metazoa; Arthropoda; Insecta; Lepidoptera; Pieridae
Exons: 3
Source: RefSeq, a predicted model, not a curated record